RNAcentral lists this transfer RNA (72 nucleotides) under Camelus bactrianus (Bactrian camel). It matches the Rfam family "tRNA". Rfam says of the family: Transfer RNA (tRNA) molecules are approximately 80 nucleotides in length. Their secondary structure includes four short double-helical elements and three loops (D, anti-codon, and T loops). The record is from Rfam by way of RNAcentral. Lineage: Eukaryota; Metazoa; Chordata; Mammalia; Artiodactyla; Camelidae. RNAcentral also lists the same sequence under 2 other names.
GAGAGUAUAGCUCAGUGGUAGAGCGCAUGCUUAGCAUGCAUGAGGUCCUGGGUUCAAUCCCCAGUAUCCCUU